CAGCCGCCGCGGUAAUACGAAGGGGGCUAGCGUUGCUCGGAAUUACUGGGCGUAAAGGGAGCGUAGGCGGACAUUUAAGUCAGGGGUGAAAUCCCAGAGCUCAACUCUGGAACUGCCUUUGAUACUGGGUGUCUUGAGUGUGAUAGAGGUAUGUGGAACUCCGAGUGUAGAGGUGAAAUUCGUAGAUAUUCGGAAGAACACCAGUGGCGAAGGCGACAUACUGGAUCAUUACUGACGCUGAGGCUCGAAAGCGUGGGGAGCAAACAGGAUUAGAUACCCCCGUAGUCCCUGUCUCUUAUAA
RNAcentral lists this ribosomal RNA (301 nucleotides) under uncultured bacterium. RNAcentral describes it as "partial 16S ribosomal RNA". It matches the Rfam family "Bacterial small subunit ribosomal RNA", at positions 509 to 809 of the family's 1533-position model. The record is from RNAcentral.